RNAcentral lists this ribosomal RNA (484 nucleotides) under uncultured bacterium. RNAcentral's name for it is "partial 16S ribosomal RNA". It matches the Rfam family "Bacterial small subunit ribosomal RNA", at positions 30 to 507 of the family's 1533-position model. The record is from RNAcentral.
AUUGAACGCUGGCGGCAGGCCUAACACAUGCAAGUCGAGCGGAUGAAGGGAGCUUGCUCCUGGAUUCAGCGGCGGACGGGUGAGUAAUGCCUAGGAAUCUGCCUGGUAGUGGGGGAUAACGUCCGGAAACGGGCGCUAAUACCGCAUACGUCCUGAGGGAGAAAGUGGGGGAUCUUCGGACCUCACGCUAUCAGAUGAGCCUAGGUCGGAUUAGCUAGUUGGUGGGGUAAAGGCCUACCAAGGCGACGAUCCGUAACUGGUCUGAGAGGAUGAUGAGUCACACUGGAACUGAGACACGGUCCAGACUCCUACGGGAGGCAGCAGUGGGGAAUAUUGGACAAUGGGCGAAAGCCUGAUCCCGCCAUGCCGCGUGUGUGAAGAAGGUCUUCGGAUUGUAAAGCACUUUAAGUUGGGAGGAAGGGCAGUAAGUUAAUACCUUGCUGUUUUGACGUUACCAACAGAAUAAGCACCGGCUAACUUCGUG